RNAcentral lists this non-coding RNA (21 nucleotides) under Caenorhabditis elegans. The record is from RNAcentral. Lineage: Eukaryota; Metazoa; Nematoda; Chromadorea; Rhabditida; Rhabditidae.
UAACCAAUCUUUCCAUUUCUA